AAGGAUCAUUGCCACACCGAUCCAAGAUCGACACAAUAUGUGAACUGUCGAACCGUAUCGAUUCCAGAGUUCUUUCGGGAGCUUAGGAGUUGGUAUCUGGUUCACCCUUAACACUUAUCAACAUGAAUUUCCACUGGAACUAAAUGUUAUGCCGAGUUUGUCUUGACAUAGCGACUAGAUUAUAAAUUGUAAACAACUUUUAACAAUGGAUAUCUAGGUUCUU
RNAcentral lists this unclassified non-coding RNA (223 nucleotides) under uncultured fungus. RNAcentral describes it as "partial contains 18S rRNA, ITS1, 5.8S rRNA, ITS2 and 28S rRNA". Lineage: Eukaryota; Fungi. The record is from RNAcentral.